GAUGAACGCUGGCGGCGUGCCUAAUACAUGCAAGUCGAGCGAACAGACGAGGAGCUUGCUCCUUUGACGUUAGCGGCGGACGGGUGAGUAACACGUGGAUAACCUACCUAUAUGACUGGGAUAACUUCGGGAAACCGGAGCUAAUACCGGAUAAUAUAUUGAACCGCAUGGUUCAAUAGUGAAAGACGGUUUUGCUGUCACUUAUAGAUGGUUCCGCGCCGCAUUAGCUAGUUGGUAAGGUAACGGCUUACCAAGGCAACGAUGCGUAGCCGACCUGAGAGGCUGAUCGGCCACACUGGAACUGAGACACGGUCCAGACUCCUAAGGGAGGCAGCAGUAGGGAAUAUUACGCAAUGGGCGAAAGCCUGAUGGAGCAACGCCGCGUGAGUGAUGAAGGUCUUCGGAUCGUAAAACUCUGUUAUUAGGGAAGAACAAAUGUGUAAGUAACUAUGCACGUCUUGACGGUACCUAAUCAGAAAGCCACGGCUAACUACGUG
Molecule: ribosomal RNA, 497 nt
Filed under: uncultured bacterium
Lineage: Bacteria
Description: partial 16S ribosomal RNA
Rfam family: Bacterial small subunit ribosomal RNA
Source: RNAcentral